GCCAGACAUGGUGGCACGUGCCUAUAGUUCCAGCUACUCGGGAGGCUGAGACAGGAGGAUCGAUUGAGUCCAGGAGUUCUGGGCUGUAGUACGCUAUGCUGAUUAGGUGUCCGCACUAAGUUUGGCAUCAAUAUGGAGACCUCCAGGGAGUAGGGGGCCACCAGGUUGCCUGAAGGGUGAACCAGCCCAGGUCGGAAAGAGAGCAGGUCAAAACUCCUGUGCUGAUCAGUAGUGGGAUUGCACCUGGGAAUAGCCACUACACUCCACACUGGGCAACACAGCGAGACCCUGUCUCUU
Molecule: non-coding RNA, 297 nt
Organism: Otolemur garnettii (small-eared galago)
Lineage: Eukaryota; Metazoa; Chordata; Mammalia; Primates; Galagidae
Source: Rfam